This 216-nucleotide ribosomal RNA is filed under the name Rhizophagus sp. (in: glomeromycetes). RNAcentral's name for it is "Rhizophagus sp. (in: Fungi) partial small subunit ribosomal RNA". The stretch from base 40 to 216 matches the Rfam family "Eukaryotic small subunit ribosomal RNA", at positions 686 to 864 of the family's 1831-position model. The record is from RNAcentral. Lineage: Eukaryota; Fungi; Glomeromycota; Glomeromycetes; Glomerales; Glomeraceae.
GGGUUAGUAGGUUGGUCGUGCCACUGGUACGUACUGGUCUCACUGAUUCCUCCUUCCUGAUGAACUGUAAUGCCAUUUAUUUGGUGUUGCAGGGAAACUGGACUGUUACUUUGAAAAAAUUAGAGUGUUUAAAGCAAGCUAACGCUUGAAUACAUUAGCAUGGAAUAAUGAAAUAGGACGUUCGAUCCUAUUUUGUUGGUUUCUAGGAUUGACGUA